Molecule: long non-coding RNA, 2538 nt
Organism: Choloepus didactylus (southern two-toed sloth)
Lineage: Eukaryota; Metazoa; Chordata; Mammalia; Pilosa; Megalonychidae
Exons: 5
Source: RefSeq, a predicted model, not a curated record
CACAGGGUUCAGCACAUUUGAUUGUAAUGGAUAAGCCGUGCUCUGGGGAAACCAACUUGUGAUCAUGGUAUCUCCCCUGCCAGCUGGCAUGGACACAUCUACAUCAGGGUUCACAAUGUCACUCCAAAGGCACUUGCUGAGGAAUCUUGAAGGAGAAGGAUUUUUCUGAAUUCUCAAAGAAACAUGUAUUUUAAACGAAUCUAUCAGGAUUCUUAAACAUGGGCAACACAGACAGACUCCAGCUGAUUUAAACUCAUUUAUUAAAAGACAUUGAGUUGUUCAUAGGACUGUUAGGAGAGUUGGGGAACCAGGGCUGGCGGCUAGGACGGCAGAGCACAGCACCAAAAUCAUGCCACGGAAUGGCCUGGUGAGGACGCCACUGCUGUGGUUCUUAGCAGUUGCUGUGGCUUUUGGCAGGUGCUGUCUCUGCCGCUGACACAGAAGCACUGCUGCUCCAGGUAUAGGAUGGGGACAGCCCUGCAACCGCUGCUGCCAUAGAAACACCAUCUUGCUGCAACUGCUGCCACCUCUAGAAAGGAUCUCAGAGUCGCUGUUGCUUUGUGUCACAAGCACCUGAUUCAGAUUCCAGGGUCUGUGUUUUUGAUUGAUCUGGCCCUGCCCACCGUCUCCUGAGUCAUUGCUGCCACCACUUCACUGGCCUUGGGGUUGCUGCUUUCCUUUUUACCACUCUUCCUCUUUAUGGACCUGUACAGUUUCCUGAAUUCCUAACAGAAGAGAUGUGAUGGAAGGGAUCUCACGUGGUCAGAUCGGUGCCAGCCUCUGGAGAAGAGAUGAAGGGGACUAAUCGGAGUCAGAGACAUCAACUGGAGGGCUGCUGUAGUCAUUCUGGUGAGAGGUGGGGGUGGCCAGAACUGGUUGAUUCCUGCUCCUCCUGUCACAUGAUUCCAGAUCCAUCAUGAACCUUAUUAUAGGGAUGAGAACUCAUUUCCAUUUGUCAUUGUGGUUCCCGCUCAUCUUUGAAAGAUGCACAUUAAGCCUGAGACUGUCUGGUCACAGAACACCAGGAAAGUUUAUUUGGCUUCCAAUAAGUCGUGGGAUUCCAGGCCUGCUUGUGGAAGAGAAUCUCACUCAAAGUCAUAACAGGUGAAACUUCUCCAUCUGCCUUCCUAUUCCAGUCCCUUGCCACACCAUUCCAAAGACAGGGGUGUGGGGCAGUGGUGGAGGGACAGACAAAGCAGGAGGAUGAUGGAACUUUCAAACAUGUUUUCUAACAUUUUUGGACUUCUUGUGGGCUAAUGACCGCUAAGACAUAACUAAACACCAAAGACCUCUGUAAAAUUGGAAUUAGGUUAAAAUUUUAUCAGAGGGUCAAAAUUUAUCAGAGGACAACAGGAAGGUCUCUUUGUUAUUGGUUUGUCUCAAAUGCUUGGUUGUUUCAGAAGCCUCAGAGUUGAUGAAACCUGUGUGUCUCUCACUAAAUGUUGGCGCAUCCAAUGGCUAAGAAUCCUUAAGCACCAAGACUUUCAUUUUGUAUCUUUGGGAUGUGGAAGCAGACCUCUUUAUAUUCCUCUCAAAACAGGCUAAGGAUUACAAAUAUUGAGCAAUAUUUGUACAAUAUGUAUGUUGUGAAUAUAUGCCCACAACAUUCUGUAGUUUGGCCAAAUGGUGAUUCUUGCAGUGUGGUCUCUUCAGGUCCCUGCAGAUGAAUCAUCUGGGAUCCUUUUUAAAAUUACUUGUUCCCAUGGCCCAUUUCCAUCAAAUGAAUUCAGAUUUUUAGGGGUGGAGCUCAAGAGUCUCAAUUUUUAACAACUUCUUUGGGAAACCACAAUGUUCAUGAAUGUUUGAGCUCAAUUUAAUAGAGCUCAAGGAAAAAGAGAGACAAAGGAAUGAACAAGAUUCCUGAUGAAGGAGAAUAAGAAAGAAGGAAAAGACUUCAACCAGGGGGCUUAGACCAAAAAGGAAUCAGUUAUGUAAUAAUAUCUCCAUAUCAUAAAAUACAGCAAUUUAAAUGUUGUAGAUGAAUAUGUAUUGACAUGGAAAUUUAUCUAUGACUUGUUGGAAAAUGCAAAACAGUGUAUAUGGUAUAAUUCCAUUUUACAUGUAUAUAUGCAUAGAAAACAUAUCUCAAAUUCAUUCAUUCAUUCAAAAACUAUUCAUUGAGUUAACAGUGAUGAACAAAAUUGAUAUGGUCCUUUUCUCAUGGUUUAAUAUGUAUACAUCAUAUAUCAUUUUAUUAGUAUAUUAUUUCUGGAUAUAGGAGUUUAUAGUGCUUAAUGAAUUUUAUAAUUUUUAUGUAGGUAACAUACAUAGCUUUUACAAUAAAAAAAAUGAAUAUAAAUGGUCUCCUUAUAUAUGUCUUUAAUUUUAUGAAUCAUGUUCCUUGUUAACAGGGUGCUUUUCUGCCUUCAUCUUCUUUUAUACCAGAUGUAACAGUUUGUAUGUAUUACGUCGCCCAGAAAAAGCCAUGUUCUUUGAUGCAAUCUUGUGGGGCAGAUGUAUUAGUGUUGAUUAAGUUGGAAUCUUUGGAUUCUGUUGUUUCCAUAGAGAUGUGACUCACCCAACUGUAGGUGAUAACUC